This 72-nucleotide transfer RNA is filed under the name Serendipita indica DSM 11827. RNAcentral describes it as "Piriformospora indica DSM 11827 tRNA". It matches the Rfam family "tRNA". Rfam says of the family: Transfer RNA (tRNA) molecules are approximately 80 nucleotides in length. The record is from Rfam by way of RNAcentral. Lineage: Eukaryota; Fungi; Basidiomycota; Agaricomycetes; Sebacinales; Serendipitaceae.
GACAAGAUGGCUCAGUGGUAAAAGCUCCAAACUAGGGUAUGGGAGGUCCCGGGUUCGAUCCCGGUCAAGUUA